GCUGCGCGAGGCCCGGCGGCUCGGCCCCCUGGAGCGGGUCCUGGAGCAGGAGUACCGCGUCUCCUGCGCGGCCC
RNAcentral lists this transfer RNA (74 nucleotides) under Streptomyces spectabilis. Its description in RNAcentral is "tRNA-Ser". The record is from RNAcentral. Lineage: Bacteria; Bacillati; Actinomycetota; Actinomycetes; Kitasatosporales; Streptomycetaceae.